This 78-nucleotide non-coding RNA is filed under the name Geoanaerobacter pelophilus. RNAcentral's name for it is "Geobacter pelophilus c-di-GMP-I riboswitch aptamer". It matches the Rfam family "c-di-GMP-I riboswitch aptamer". From Rfam's summary of the family: GEMM was predicted in a large-scale screen for bacterial structured RNA regulatory elements. Genes associated with GEMM are involved in a diverse array of functions, including chemotaxis regulation, signal transduction, secretion and chitin. RNAcentral also lists the same sequence under 2 other names. The record is from Rfam by way of RNAcentral. Lineage: Bacteria; Pseudomonadati; Thermodesulfobacteriota; Desulfuromonadia; Geobacterales; Geobacteraceae.
CACACGAAAAGGCAAACCCAGGGUAACCUGGGGACGCAAAGCCACCUGUCCAGCAUUCUGGAAAGAGGGGUUGUCGAA